GCAGCAGCCGCGGUAAGACAGAGGUGGCAAGCGUUGUUCGGUAUCACUGGGCUUAAAGCGUGUGUAGGCGGAAGCGUAAGCAUUUUGUGAAAUCCCCCGGCUCAACCGGGGCAUUGCUUGAUGUACUGCGCUUCUUGAGGCAGGUAGGGGUGCGAGGAACUCUUGGUGGAGCGGUGGAAUGCGUAGAUAUCAAGAGGAACGCCGGUGGUGAAGACGUCGCACUAGGCCUGUCCUGACGCUGAGACACGAAAGCGUGGGGAGCAAACGGGAUUAGAUACCCCGGUAGUCCACGCCGUAAACGAUGUCUACUAGGUUGUGGCGGUUCUGACGCCGGCACAGCCGAAGCAAAAGUGUUAAGUAGACCGCCUGGGGAGUACGGUCGCAAGGCUAAAACUCAAAGGAAUUGACGGGGGCCCGCACAAGC
Molecule: ribosomal RNA, 424 nt
Filed under: uncultured bacterium
Lineage: Bacteria
Description: bacterial SSU rRNA
Rfam family: Bacterial small subunit ribosomal RNA
Source: RNAcentral